This 486-nucleotide ribosomal RNA is filed under the name Salmonella enterica. RNAcentral describes it as "bacterial SSU rRNA". It matches the Rfam family "Bacterial small subunit ribosomal RNA", at positions 1 to 478 of the family's 1533-position model. The record is from RNAcentral. Lineage: Bacteria; Pseudomonadati; Pseudomonadota; Gammaproteobacteria; Enterobacterales; Enterobacteriaceae. RNAcentral also lists the same sequence under 1 other name.
AAAUUGAAGAGUUUGAUCAUGGCUCAGAUUGAACGCUGGCGGCAGGCCUAACACAUGCAAGUCGAACGGUAGCACAGAGAGCUUGCUCUCGGGUGACGAGUGGCGGACGGGUGAGUAAUGUCUGGGAAACUGCCCGAUGGAGGGGGAUAACUACUGGAAACGGUAGCUAAUACCGCAUAACGUCGCAAGACCAAAGUGGGGGACCUUCGGGCCUCACACCAUCGGAUGUGCCCAGAUGGGAUUAGCUAGUAGGUGGGGUAACGGCUCACCUAGGCGACGAUCCCUAGCUGGUCUGAGAGGAUGACCAGCCACACUGGAACUGAGACACGGUCCAGACUCCUACGGGAGGCAGCAGUGGGGAAUAUUGCACAAUGGGCGCAAGCCUGAUGCAGCCAUGCCGCGUGUAUGAAGAAGGCCUUCGGGUUGUAAAGUACUUUCAGCGAGGAGGAAGGCGUUGUGGUUAAUAACCACAGCGAUUGACGUUAC